GGGGGUUUAGCUCAGAUGGUAGAGCGUCCGCUUUGCAUGCGGAAGGUAUGGGGAUCGAUGCCCCAAAUCUCCA
Molecule: non-coding RNA, 73 nt
Organism: Kickxella alabastrina
Lineage: Eukaryota; Fungi; Kickxellomycota; Kickxellomycetes; Kickxellales; Kickxellaceae
Source: the annotation of a RefSeq genome assembly